This 209-nucleotide non-coding RNA is filed under the name Bacteroides nordii. Lineage: Bacteria; Pseudomonadati; Bacteroidota; Bacteroidia; Bacteroidales; Bacteroidaceae. RNAcentral also lists the same sequence under 1 other name. The record is from RNAcentral.
CUAUCUUUGCCGUGCAUUGGUUCGCAACCUCUUCUUAUUCGGAAGAAUGCGAUUAAAAGGGAAUCAGGUGUAAAUCCUGAACAGUCCCGCUGCUGUAAGUUCCAAUGAAUUAUGUUAUGAACAACUACCACUUUAGCCACUGGGGAAAUCCUGGGAAGGCGUUCGUAACAGGAACAAGUCAGAAGACCUGCCAUGCUAUCUUUUUUCAU